UGGCUCAGAUUGAACGCUGGCGGCAGGCCUAACACAUGCAAGUCGAGCGGUAGAGAGAAGCUUGCUUCUCUUGAGAGCGGCGGACGGGUGAGUAAUGCCUAGGAAUCUGCCUGGUAGUGGGGGAUAACGUUCGGAAACGGACGCUAAUACCGCAUACGUCCUACGGGAGAAAGCAGGGGACCUUCGGGCCUUGCGCUAUCAGAUGAGCCUAGGUCGGAUUAGCUAGUUGGUGAGGUAAUGGCUCACCAAGGCGACGAUCCGUAACUGGUCUGAGAGGAUGAUCAGUCACACUGGAACUGAGACACGGUCCAGACUCCUACGGGAGGCAGCAGUGGGGAAUAUUGGACAAUGGGCGAAAGCCUGAUCCAGCCAUGCCGCGUGUGUGAAGAAGGUCUUCGGAUUGUAAAGCACUUUAAGUUGGGAGGAAGGGUUGUAGAUUAAUACUCUGCAAUUUUGACGUUACCGACAGAAUAAGCACCGGCUAACUCUGUGCCAGCAGCCGCGGUAAUACAGAGGGUGCAAGCGUUAAUCGGAAUUACUGGGCGUAAAGCGCGCGUAGGUGGUUUGUUAAGUUGGAUGUGAAAUCCCCGGGCUCAACCUGGGAACUGCAUUCAAAACUGACUGACUAGAGUAUGGUAGAGGGUGGUGGAAUUUCCUGUGUAGCGGUGAAAUGCGUAGAUAUAGGAAGGAACACCAGUGGCGAAGGCGACCACCUGGACUAAUACUGACACUGAGGUGCGAAAGCGUGGGGAGCAAACAGGAUUAGAUACCCUGGUAGUCCACGCCGUAAACGAUGUCAACUAGCCGUUGGAAGCCUUGAGCUUUUAGUGGCGCAGCUAACGCAUUAAGUUGACCGCCUGGGGAGUACGGCCGCAAGGUUAAAACUCAAAUGAAUUGACGGGGGCCCGCACAAGCGGUGGAGCA
This 924-nucleotide ribosomal RNA is filed under the name uncultured bacterium. Its description in RNAcentral is "bacterial SSU rRNA". It matches the Rfam family "Bacterial small subunit ribosomal RNA", at positions 20 to 939 of the family's 1533-position model. The record is from RNAcentral.